RNAcentral lists this signal recognition particle RNA (316 nucleotides) under Candidatus Bathyarchaeota archaeon. Its description in RNAcentral is "signal recognition particle sRNA". It matches the Rfam family "Archaeal signal recognition particle RNA". Lineage: Archaea; Thermoproteati; Candidatus Bathyarchaeota. The record is from RNAcentral.
CGAUGGAUCUUAAGCGGUGGGUUAGGGGUCCAUUAUCUCCGUAAAUCCCCUCUAUGACGGGCUGACACCGGCAGAUGAGGCGUUUAAGGCCGCUUAGAUCUCUAGUUUCGAACCAGUGACUAUCCGUCCUUUGGGGCUGGCGGUCAGUGGGUGGCUUCCGUAGGGAAGUUGCUUCACUGUUUAGCAGGCGAACCUGGCUAGGCUCGGGAGAGAGCAACCUAAGUUUGGACGUUAUGCGCUCAAGGGGGUGCGGGUAAGAGAGUAGAGCUGGAUGUAUCUAGGCGGAGUCUGGGCGUCGAACUGCCGUGGUCCAUCG